RNAcentral lists this long non-coding RNA (2260 nucleotides) under Gallus gallus (chicken). RNAcentral describes it as "lncRNA (ENSGALG00010011319.1)". The record is from RNAcentral. Lineage: Eukaryota; Metazoa; Chordata; Aves; Galliformes; Phasianidae.
AAAUUAUUUAAUUCAUUCUCUUAACUGAUUCAUAGCAAGCUGCAAAAAGUUACCUCUCAGGCUACGUUUGAAGUUAUGUCUACUGCUUAUAUCAAACACUGAAGUUAAUUGUCAGCAAAAUCCUUGUAGAAAUACCAUUGGUAGUGUGCAAAGUAAGAAUGUCUUAUUGGAUCACCUGUUUUGCCAGGAUUUGGUGAGGGUAUGCACAUAGACUAAGUGUUUGGUUACUUGCAAAAUGUUCUUCCAUACCAGCACAGCUGAAGACUCAGAGUGAAGGAAGAGUGGAGGAAGGUGAGGUCAGAGGAAAAGGUAGGUCUCACCUAAGCUUGGGACAGACUUCAGGAAAACUGCAUGCCAGUUCUUAAUGCAGUCUUCAAGAGUAAACUCCUGGUAAACCUCCUCUACGUUCAGAUGGAGCCAGUUCAAUCCAGUUUGCAAACUGAAUUUAAUGAUGUGCUGGCUGAGGAAGAAGUGACGUGGGAAGGAGAAUCUGUGAAUGUGAGGGAAGCAAGGAUAAAGGAUCUAGAAGUGCUCCUAGACUGAGGAACAAGAAAUGGCUCCUUGCUUCACUUCUUGUAUUGGGAACCAUGUACUUGUUUUGCCAUCUUGAAGCCCCAAGCAGUCUCUCACAUAUACAAUGUGGCAUGUACGGAUUUAACUAUAUUGUCAUUUGGGAAUAGGAAUACUCAUGUCAAUUCUUCUAUGCAAUCGAUUUGUAUGAUGUACUUGUUUAAGAUUUAUUUUGCAAGCUCUCCUGCUGCCCCUGUUUACCCCUGCAAGAUGGUCCUGCAACACUCCCUCCUCUCAGCCCCUUGAAAGGAGAUGCAAGCCAACAAAAGACUGUAUUGGCAAUGCCUGUUCCCAGCCCUGUGUGGCUGCUCUGUGUCCACCGUGUACCUUGACACUGGGGUGACCCUGCUGCUAAAACAGCUGCUUCUGUGGCUGCCAGCAGACCUGGUCUUUCAUUAUGUAAUUGUGAAUCAGGAUUGUUACUGCUCAUGUGUAUAAGAGUAUGAACCAAACUUCCCUUUCCAUCUUUGGCCAGGUCGGCUUUUGGAUCGACACCUUCUCCCUCCCAGUGAGAUAUAGCUCUCUGUGCUGCCCAGCAGCAUUUGGUACAUUUAUAAGGCCAUUUGUGAUAGUACUGUUAUUUUGAGAAUGUUAUGGAGUGGCUGUGUGCUGGGUGGCUGCUGCAGCCAGACACAGCACCAGGAAAGAGAAGGAACAGACUGCAGCAUGGCCAUGCUUGGGAGCAGAAGCAAGGCUUGGCAAGAUCUGCACUGAUAGGCCAUGCUGAGGAUGUGGUUGCUCCAGUGUCCUAAAGCAGGGAUUCCAAGCUCCUGCUUCCCCAGGGGAGGAUAGUGAAGCCUUCUACAUGUAGCAAAUAACCACAGCAGCAGACUGCUGGAGUGCCAGAAGCAGCAACAAAGCGCAUCUGACUGCUCCUGCUGAUUUGUCAACGGUAACUAACCCGAGGUGUGUUCUGGGGGUCAAUACAUCUCUGACAGAGCUGUUCUGCCACCAGUACCUGUGCUGGUGGAUGUUCAACAUGGGGCUGAACGCAGCUGUUGUCACAGACCAUGUGGAUGGUGACCAAUAUCCUAUGUGUGCUACUAAAACAGUAACAAGGAGGGAGCUUACUGUAGAUACAAGAGGUUCACAGCUCUUAAUUCUCUUCCACUUAGCAAUAUUACAGUACAUUCCCCAUAUUAGUGGUCCUAGGUGGCCCAGAGUACAUACAAAUAUGGGAGAGGUCAUCUUGCUUCUGAAGUAAAGCAUAUAGCUUUCCAUAUAAAGGAAAUGUGUGGUUAAAACAGCAACAACAAAAAAUCUUACUUCUGUGCUUGUUAAUGUUUUCACAGCAGUUGAGCAUAUCUGAUUACUCUUACCAGUUUUAGUUUAUCUAGUUUGGUGGUCAAAAUGAGCCUGAUGGAAAGGGAUGUACUAUUCCCUAUCACAUUCUAAACUAUAUCAACCCAGUGAGUUUAAGUGUCACUGUAAAAUCUGAAGCUGGAAACAUAAAUGCUUGCUUUAUCUAAAAUACAAAGAAUGCAGCUCAGCCUGUUAGUGGGCUAGGCUCAGAAUAACCUCCCAGACAACAUGGCAGAGUUUUGGAAAGUUUGUGUACAUGCUAUGUUGUAGAUUUCUUUAAAGAUUAAGAACACAUUAAAGAUAAAGAACACAUUUCUAUAGGUUUUUGCAGAAAGAAAAGAUGCCUUUGUUUAAAAAAUUAUAAUAAUAAAAAAAUGUAUAAGAUGUU